CAACAGGGAUUGCCCCAGUAACGGCGAGUGAAGCGGCAACAGCUCAAAUUUGAAAUCUGGCUCUCGGGCCCGAGUUGUAAUUUGUAGAGGAUGCUUUUGGUGAGGUGCCUUCCGAGUUCCCUGGAACGGGACGCCAUAGAGGGUGAGAGCCCCGUCUGGUUGGACACCGAUCCUCUGUAAAGCUCCUUCGACGAGUCGAGUAGUUUGGGAAUGCUGCUCUAAAUGGGAGGUAUAUGUCUUCUAAAGCUAAAUACCGGCCAGAGACCGAUAGCGCACAAGUAGAGUGAUCGAAAGAUGAAAAGAACUUUGAAAAGAGAGUUAAAAAGUACGUGAAAUUGUUGAAAGGGAAGCGCUUGUGACCAGACUUGGGCUUGGUUGAUCAUCCGGGGUUCUCCCCGGUGCACUCUUCCGGCUCAGGCCAGCAUCAGUUCGCCCUGGGGGAUAAAGGCUUCGGGAAUGUGGCUCUCUCCGGGGAGUGUUAU
This 482-nucleotide ribosomal RNA is filed under the name Fusarium sp. RNAcentral describes it as "partial large subunit ribosomal RNA". It matches the Rfam family "Eukaryotic large subunit ribosomal RNA", at positions 66 to 559 of the family's 3401-position model. Lineage: Eukaryota; Fungi; Ascomycota; Sordariomycetes; Hypocreales; Nectriaceae. The record is from RNAcentral. RNAcentral also lists the same sequence under 9 other names.